Molecule: ribosomal RNA, 403 nt
Filed under: Fusobacteriota bacterium
Lineage: Bacteria; Fusobacteriati; Fusobacteriota
Description: Fusobacteria bacterium partial 16S ribosomal RNA
Rfam family: Bacterial small subunit ribosomal RNA
Source: RNAcentral
UGGGGAAUAUUGCACAAUGGAGGGAACUCUGAUGCAGCGACGCCGCGUGAACGAAGAAGGCUUUCGAGUCGUAAAGUUCUUUUAUAUGGGAAGAUAAUGACGGUACCAUAAGAAAAAGCCCCGGCUAACUACGUGCCAGCAGCCGCGGUAAUACGUAGGGGGCUAGCGUUGUCCGGAAUCACUGGGCGUAAAGGGUUCGCAGGCGGAAAUGCAAGUCAGGUGUAAAAGGCAGUAGCUUAACUACUGUAAGCAUUUGAAACUGCAUAUCUUGAGAAGAGUAGAGGUAAGUGGAAUUUUUAGAGUAGCGGUGAAAUGCGUAGAUAUUAAAAAGAAUACCGGUGGCGAAGGCGACUUACUGGGCUCAUUCUGACGCUGAGGAACGAAAGCGUGGGUAGCAAACAGG